CCGUAACUAUAACGGUCCUAAGGUAGCGAAAUUCCUUGUCGGGUAAGUUCCGACCUGCACGAAUGGCGUAAUGAUGGCCAGGCUGUCUCCACCCGAGACUCAGUGAAAUUGAACUCGCUGUGAAGAUGCAGUGUACCCGCGGCAAGACGGAAAGACCCCGUGAACCUUUACUAUAGCUUGACACUGAACAUUGAGCCUUGAUGUGUAGGAUAGGUGGGAGGCUUUGAAGUGUGGACGCCAGUCUGCAUGGAGCCGACCUUGAAAUACCACCCUUUAAUGUUUGAUGUUCUAACGUUGGCCCCUAAUCGGGGUUGCGGACAGUGUCUGGUGGGUAGUUUGACUGGGGCGGUCUCCUCCUAAAGAGUAACGGAGGAGCACGAAGGUUGGCUAAUCCUGGUCGGACAUCAGGAGGUUAGUGCAAUGGCAUAAGCCAGCUUGACUGCGAGCGUGACGGCGCGAGCAGGUGCGAAAGCAGGUCAUAGUGAUCCGGUGGUUCUGAAUGGAAGGGCCAUCGCUCAACGGAUAAAAGGUACUCCGGGGAUAACAGGCUGAUACCGCCCAAGAGUUCAUAUCGACGGCGGUGUUUGGCACCUCGAUGUCGGCUCAUCACAUCCUGGGGCUGAAGUAGGUCCCAAGGGUAUGGCUGUUCGCCAUUUAAAGUGGUACGCGAGCUGGGUUUAGAACGUCGUGAGACAGUUCGGUCCCUAUCUGCCGUGGGCGCUGGAGAACUGAGGGGGGCUGCUCCUAGUACGAGAGGACCGGAGUGGACGCAUCACUGGUGUUCGGGUUGUCAUGCCAAUGGCACUGCCCGGUAGCUAAAUGCGGAAGAGAUAAGUGCUGAAAGCAUCUAAGCACGAAACUUGCCCCGAGAUGAGUUCUCCCUGACUCCUUGAGAGUCCUGAAGGAACGUUGAAGACGACGACGUUGAUAGGCCGGGUGUGUAAGCGCAGCGAUGCGUUGAGCUAACCGGUACUAAUGAACCGUGAGGCUUAACCUU
This 997-nucleotide ribosomal RNA is filed under the name human gut metagenome. RNAcentral describes it as "bacterial LSU rRNA". It matches the Rfam family "Bacterial large subunit ribosomal RNA", at positions 1934 to 2925 of the family's 2925-position model. The record is from RNAcentral.